AGUCGAACGGCAGCACGGGGCAACCUGGUGGCGAGUGGCGAACGGGUGAGUAAAGCAUCGGAACGUACCCUAGAGUGGGGGAUAACUAUCCGAAAGGAUAGCUAAUACCGCAUAUUCUAUGAGUAGGAAAGCGGGGGAUCUUCGGACCUCGCGCUCUAGGAGCGGCCGAUGUCAGAUUAGGUAGUUGGUGGGGUAAAGGCCUACCAAGCCGACGAUCUGUAGCGGGUCUGAGAGGAUGAUCCGCCACACUGGGACUGACGACACGGCCCAGACUCCUACGGGAGGCAGCAGUGGGGAAUUUUGGACAAUGGGGGCAACCCUGAUCCAGCCAUGCCGCGUGAGUGAAGAAGGCCUUCGGGUUGUAAAGCUCUUUCGGCCGGGAAGAAAUCGUGUGGGCUAAUACCCUGCAUGGAUGACGGUACCGGAAUAAGAAGCACCGGCUAACUACGUGCCAGCAGCCGCGGUAAUACGUAGGGUGCGAGCGUUAAUCGGAAUUACUGGGCGUAAAGCGUGCGCAGGCGGUUUUUUAAGACAGGCGUGAAAUCCCCGGGCUUAACCUGGGAACUGCGCUUGUGACUGGAAGGCUAGAGUACGGCAGAGGGGGGUGGAAUCCACGUGUAGCAGUGAAAUGCGUAGAGAUGUGGAGGAACACCGAUGGCGAAGGCAGCCCCCUGGGCCGAUACUGACGCUCAUGCACGAAAGCGUGGGGAGCAAACAGGAUUAGAUACCUGGUAGUCCACGCCCUAAACGAUGUCAACUAGUUGUUGGGUGGGUAAAACCAUUUAGUAACGUAGCUAACGCGUGAAGUUGACCGCCUGGGGAGUACGGCCGCAAGGUUAAAACUCAAAGGAAUUGACGGGGACCCGCACAAGCGGUGGAUGAUGUGGAUUAAUUCGAUGCAACGCGAAAAACCUUACCUACCCUUGACAUGUUCAGAAUCCUGAAGAGAUUUGGGAGUGCCCGAAAGGGAGCUGGAACACAGGUGCUGCAUGGCUGUCGUCAGCUCGUGUCGUGAGAUGUUGGGUUAAGUCCCGCAACGAAGCGCAACCCUUGUCGUUAAUUGCCAUCAUUAAGUUGGGCACUUUAACGAGACUGCCGGUGACAAACCGGAGGAAGGUGGGGAUGACGUCAAGUCCUCAUGGCCCUUAUGGGUAGGGCUUCACACGUCAUACAAUGGUCGGUACAGAGGGUUGCCAAGCCGCGAGGUGGAGCCAAUCCCAGAAAGCCGAUCGUAGUCCGGAUUGUAGGCUGCAACUCGCCUGCAUGAAGUCGGAAUCGCUAGUAAUCGCGGAUCAGCAUGUCGCGGUGAUACGUUCCCGGGUCUUGUACACACCGCCCGUCACACCAUGGGAGCGGGUUCCGCCAGAAGUGGGUAGCCUAACCGCAA
This 1387-nucleotide ribosomal RNA is filed under the name uncultured bacterium. RNAcentral's name for it is "bacterial SSU rRNA". It matches the Rfam family "Bacterial small subunit ribosomal RNA". The record is from RNAcentral.